This 726-nucleotide ribosomal RNA is filed under the name uncultured Neisseriaceae bacterium. RNAcentral's name for it is "bacterial SSU rRNA". It matches the Rfam family "Bacterial small subunit ribosomal RNA", at positions 1 to 742 of the family's 1533-position model. The record is from RNAcentral. Lineage: Bacteria; Pseudomonadati; Pseudomonadota; Betaproteobacteria; Neisseriales; Neisseriaceae.
UCGGCUUAGAGUUUGAUCAUGGCUCAGAUUGAACGCUGGCGGCAUGCUUUACACAUGCAAGUCGAACGGUAGGGGAGCUUGCUCCUGACGAGUGGCGAACGGGUGAGUAAUACAUCGGAACGUGCCAAUUAAUGGGGGAUAACUACUCGAAAGAGUGGCUAAUACCGCAUACGCUCUACGGAGGAAAGUGGUUUAUCACGUUAUUUGAGCGGCCGAUGUCUGAUUAGCUAGUUGGUGGGGUAAAGGCCUACCAAGGCGACGAUCAGUAGCGGGUCUGAGAGGAUGAUCCGCCACACUGGGACUGAGACACGGCCCAGACUCCUACGGGAGGCAGCAGUGGGGAAUUUUGGACAAUGGGCGCAAGCCUGAUCCAGCCAUGCCGCGUGUCUGAAGAAGGCCUUCGGGUUGUAAAGGACUUUUGUUUGGGAAGAAAACUUAUUGUAAUCGAUGAGUAUGACGGUACCAAAAGAAUAAGCACCGGCUAACUACGUGCCAGCAGCCGCGGUAAUACGUAGGGUGCGAGCGUUAAUCGGAAUUACUGGGCGUAAAGCGAGCGCAGGCGGUUUGUAAAGCCAGACGUGAAAUCCCCGGGCUCAACCUGGGAAUUGCGUUUGGAACUGGCAGACUAGAGUGUGUCAGAGGGGGGUAGAAUUCCGCGUGUAGCAGUGAAAUGCGUAGAGAUGUGGAGGAAUACCGAUGGCGAAGGCAGCCCCCUGGGAUACACUG